Molecule: long non-coding RNA, 900 nt
Filed under: Meleagris gallopavo (turkey)
Lineage: Eukaryota; Metazoa; Chordata; Aves; Galliformes; Phasianidae
Description: lncRNA (ENSMGAG00000019346.1)
Source: RNAcentral
UGCUUAAAGAGCUUUGGCAUGCAGAGAUGACACGAGGAAAGCCAAGGUGUGGAUGGAAUCAAACUUGGUGAGGAAUGUGAAAAAUAACAAGGGAUUCUACGUGUACAUUGGUCAGAAGAGACAGACCAUAAGACUGUAUCCCCACUGAUAAACGACAAGACACGGAGAAGGCAAGGGUACUCAAAAAAUUCUUUGCCUCAGUCUUCACUGGCAGUCAGGAUUCCCAUGUUUCUUGCAUCCUUGAAUCUCUAGGCAGGGGCUGGAGAAGCAAAAUCCCCCCCACUGUAAGAAAAGUGCAAUUUUGAGACUACUUGAUGAGACUGAAUGUGUACAAGUCUGUGGGGAUGGACGACAUGUACCCCAGGGUCCUGAAGGAACUGGCUGAUUAGUUGCUGAGCCAGUACUUAAAGGCCUUCCAGUAUUUAAGGGGAGAUUUGAAACAGGAGGGUAACUGACUUUUUACACAGUCUGGUAGUGAUGGGACUAGGGGAAAUGGUUUUAAACUAAAAGAGGGGAGAUUUAGGUUAGAUAUUGGGAAGAAACUUUUUACUCAAAGGGUGGUAAAGCACAGGAACAGGCUACACUGAGAAUAGUUUAUUUCUCAUCUGGGGCCAGAACAAGAACAGGCAUAUGGCUCUGUAGCUUCAUUGCAUAUUAUGAUUCAGACCAAUAGUCACCUUUUAGUUGAGUGGGGGAUGUUAGCUGACUAUUUCUUCUUUUGACUUCUUGUUUAUUCCGUUUCACACUGGUUUGCAGCCAGGCAUGGAAGUAGAAUUGCUCAAACUGCAGAAAAGCCUGCGUUAUGUUACCUCCAACAGAAACACCACAUUUCUGGCAAGAUGUGUUCCUUCUGAAGAAAGAGAAAUAGUCUACUGACUUGAGAGGGAGAAAAGAACAGCU